This 450-nucleotide ribosomal RNA is filed under the name uncultured bacterium. Its description in RNAcentral is "bacterial SSU rRNA". It matches the Rfam family "Bacterial small subunit ribosomal RNA", at positions 791 to 1243 of the family's 1533-position model. The record is from RNAcentral.
UAGUCCACACCGUAAACGAUGAAUGCCAGUCGUCGGGCAGUAUACUGUUCGGUGACACACCUAACGGAUUAAGCAUUCCGCCUGGGGAGUACGGUCGCAAGAUUAAACUCAAAGGAAUUGACGGGGGCCCGCACAAGCGGUGGAGCAUGUGGUUUAAUUCGAUAAUACGCGAGAAACCUUACCUAGGUUCAAUGUGUGACGACCCUUCAAGAGAUUGAAGUUUCCGCAAGGACGUCACACAAGGUGUUGCAUGGCCGUCGUCAGCUCGUGCCGUGAGGUGUUUGGUUAAGUCCUAUAACGAGCGCAACCCCUAUGCUUAGUUGCCAGCACGUAAUGGUGGGAACUCUAAGCAGACUGCCUGCGAAAGCAGUGAGGAAGGAGGGGAUGAGGUCAGGUCAUCAUGACUUUUACGCCUAGGGGCUACACACGUGCUACAAUGGCGUGUACAAC